ACUCCUCGUUGAAUCGAAAGCUAUUGAGGAGUCUUCUACACAAAGAAACCUUGAAUUUGAAGGCUUAGUUCUGUCAUCCAAGGCAGCAGAAGAGGAAGUGAAAGAACAGCUGAAAGAGACUGAGAAGCAGUUAGCAGCUGCUGAAAAUCAGAAUAUGGAGAUCGAGAAGCAGUUGUCCCUUGCAGAGCUAAAAUGCGCCGAUGCAGGUAAAGAAAUAAAAGUACUCCAUGAGAAAACAUCAGAGCUCACCUCAUUACUG
This 259-nucleotide unclassified non-coding RNA is filed under the name Hevea brasiliensis (rubber tree). The record is from RNAcentral. Lineage: Eukaryota; Viridiplantae; Streptophyta; Magnoliopsida; Malpighiales; Euphorbiaceae.